Molecule: RNA transcript, 1294 nt
Organism: Dreissena polymorpha
Lineage: Eukaryota; Metazoa; Mollusca; Bivalvia; Myida; Dreissenidae
Exons: 6
Source: RefSeq, a predicted model, not a curated record
CAAAAUGCGCACCUGUUUUUCCAAAUUGAAACUGAAAGUAGACAAAAUCAUGGCAUCAUCAUGGUAUUCAAAGGUCGUUAAGUUAUUUACACUAAGUGACAAACAGCUUGUUCAACUUUCCUUGGGAAUAUCUGCUGCUGGAGCAAUGAUGGUCAUGGGGAUGUAUGGAUAUCAGAAAUAUCAUAACAAAAAUACAGAGUACACUCUGGAGUCGAUGCGCAUGCUGCAAGGUUACCCUAACCUGAACGACGUUCUAGGCGUUCCAGUGAAAUUGAGAGGCUUUCAAGCUAGUAACUCCUUCCACAGGCGCACAGACAAACAAAUCAGGAUCUAUCUACCAGUGCAAGGUGCGGUGAAGGCAGCCUCGGUCUACAGUUGGUGUUCCCUGCACGACAACACGGAUACUGGCAAACAACAAUGGCGGGUGGACCGACUCGAUCUGCAGACCGAUGUGGAAGGUAGCCUUCAACAGUGGACUAUAUUCCAGCACCCCGAAUGCAGGGAAGACCCAGACUUGGUGUUCCAGAGAGCUGAACUCAGUGAAAAGCAGGAAAUGAACUCAAUUAUUUCAUCAACCCCAGUACUUGACUCGAGUUCGAAAUCAGCAUUUGACGAACCAAAGUUGAACCCAAAAAGUUGAUGAGUGAUAGAUUGAUGUGAAUAAUUUUCAUUACCGUACUAAAUCAUGUCUUUAAUAAGGCGCAUGUUUGUACUACCCAAAUUUUAAUUCAAUAAGUUGGUUCGUGUUUUACAUGGACAGUGUACACAACCAAUUGUGUAAUAGUAGUAUGGCGACCGAUUUGACAUUUUACUUUACUAGAAAAUUAUUUUUUUCUAUUUUGGCAUUUUUGAAAUCCGAUGGGCAUUAUAAGUUAACAAAUUGUUAAUGUAUUUACAAAACACUUUGUGACAAUAUUUGUUCCUAUUUUUUUUAAGCUCGACUUUUGAACGAAAAGGCCGUGAGUUUUACUUGCUUGGGCAUUAUUGUUUAUGUUUAUAACCUGCCUUGUGACUUGUAUGUUAUGAACUACAAGUUAUAUUUUUAGUAGUUGUUUUUACAAAAGCAACAUGAGACACCUUAAAUAUAUAGAAUACAAUUGUAUUUAAAAGGUUAAACACAUUAACGCCUUUCAAAUACAAUUACACAUGUAUUUUAUCCCAUCUUCACUGCGCAAUUGACAACCCAUAUAACCCGUAUAACAACCCAUGUUUUAGACUAGCCUCUAUCCCACGUUGUUGAAUAAACCUGUGGCGUGCACAGACAAAUGACGUCAUUAAUAAACAAACAAUCGUU